This 2479-nucleotide ribosomal RNA is filed under the name Actinokineospora terrae. RNAcentral's name for it is "bacterial LSU rRNA". It matches the Rfam family "Bacterial large subunit ribosomal RNA", at positions 1 to 2295 of the family's 2925-position model. The record is from RNAcentral. Lineage: Bacteria; Bacillati; Actinomycetota; Actinomycetes; Pseudonocardiales; Pseudonocardiaceae.
UUGUUGUAAGUGUGUAAGGGCAUACGGUGGAUGUCUAGGCAUCAGGGGCCGAUGAAGGACGUGGGAGGCUGCGAUAAGCCUCGGGGAGCUGCCAACCUAGCUGUGAUCCGAGGGUGUCCGAAUGGGGAAACCCGGCACCAGUCAUGUGGUGUCACCCGCACCUGAAUAUAUAGGGUGUUGGGGGGGAACGCGGGGAAGUGAAACAUCUCAGUACCCGUAGGAAGAGAAAACAACCGUGAUUCCGUGAGUAGUGGCGAGCGAAAGCGGAAGAGGCUAAACCGUCGUCGUGUGAUACCCGGCAGGGGUUGCGGUGGCGGGGUCGUGGGACCUUUCGGUCAGUUCUGCCGGACUGGCGCAGAGUAAGAAAACCAUGUGUUUAGUUGAACGCCUUGGGAUGGGCGGCCGUAGAGGGUGAGAGCCCCGUAAGCGAAAAACCGUGGUCUCUGGAGAGUGUUCCCAAGUAGCAGCGUACUCGUGAAAUUCGCUGUGAAUCUGGCGGGACCACCCGCUAAGCCUGAAUACUUCCUGAUGACCGAUAGCGGACUAGUACCGUGAGGGAAAGAUGAAAAGUACCCCGGGAGGGGAGUGAAAGAGUACCUGAAACCGUGUGCCUACAAGCCGUCAGAGCCUUGAGGGGUGAUGGCGUGCCUUUUGAAGAAUGAGCCUGCGAGUUAGUGCUGCGUGGCGAGGUUAACCCGUGUGGGGUAGCCGUAGCGAAAGCGAGUCCGAAUAGGGCGGUUGAGUCGCGUGGUCUAGACCCGAAGCGGAGUGAUCUACCCAUGGCCAGGGUGAAGCGACGGUAAGACGUCGUGGAGGCCCGAACCCACCAGGGUUGAAAACCUGGGGGAUGAGCUGUGGGUAGGGGUGAAAGGCCAAUCAAACUCCGUGAUAGCUGGUUCUCCCCGAAAUGCAUUUAGGUGCAGCGUCGCAUGUUUCCUGUCGGGGGUAGAGCACUGGAUGGUCUAGGGGGCCUACAAGCUUACCGAAAUCAACCAAACUCCGAAUACCGAUAGGUGAGAGUGCGGCAGUGAGACUGCGGGCGAUAAGGUUCGUAGUCGAGAGGGAAACAGCCCAGAACACCAGCUAAGGCCCCUAAGUGUGCGCUAAGUGGGAAAGGAUGUGGGGUCGCCCAGACAACCAGGAGGUUGGCUUAGAAGCAGCCACCCUUGAAAGAGUGCGUAAUAGCUCACUGGUCAAGUGGUCCUGCGCCGACAAUGUAGCGGGGCUUAAGCGCACCGCCGAAGCUGUGUCACUCACACAAUACGCCGUCUUCCGGGCUUGACCUGGUUGGCCAGUGGUGUGGGUGGGUAGGGGAGCGUCGUGCAGCCGGGGAAGCGGCGGAGUGAUCCAGUCGUGGAGGCUGUGCGAGUGAGAAUGCAGGCAUGAGUAGCGAUAGGCGAGUGAGAAUCUCGUCCGCCGAAUGACCAAGGGUUCCUGGGCCAGGCUGUUCCGCCCAGGGUAAGUCGGGACCUAAGGCGAGGCCGACAGGCGUAGUCGAUGGACAACGGGUUGAUAUUCCCGUACCCGUGUGGACGCGUCCCUGGUGAGGUCGGUGAUACUAACCGCCCAAAGCCUCGACCUUCUUCGGAGGGGAGGGGUGGAGCGCGGGAUCUGAUCCGGUAGUAGCCAAGCGAUGGGGUGACGCAGGAGGGUAGCUCCGCCAGCUGUUGGUGUCUGGUGUAAGCGUGUGGCCCGAGCGAUAGGCAAAUCCGUCGCUCAUGAGGGUGAGGCGUGAUGCAUAGCCGAUUGAGGCGAAGUAGAGUGAUCCCAUGCUGCCGAGAAAAGCCUCUAGCGAGUGUCCGUGCGGCCCGUACCCCAAACCGACACAGGUGGUCAGGUAGAGAAUACCGAGGCGUUCGGGUGAACUGUGGUCAAGGAACUCGGCAAAAUGCCCCCGUAACUUCGGGAGAAGGGGGGCCGUAGCACUUGAAGCCCUUCGCGGGCUAGGGUGAGGCGGCCGCAGAGACCAGCGAGAAGCGACUGUUUACUAAAAACACAGGUCCGUGCGAAGUCGCAAGACGAUGUAUACGGACUGACGCCUGCCCGGUGCUGGAACGUUAAGAGGACGGGUUAGUGCGUAAGCGCGAAGCUCAGAAUUUAAGCGCCAGUAAACGGCGGUGGUAACUAUAACCAUCCUAAGGUAGCGAAAUUCCUUGUCGGGUAAGUUCCGACCUGCACGAAUGGCGUAACGACUUCUCGACUGUCUCGACCACAGGCCCGGCGAAAUUGCACUACGAGUAAAGAUGCUCGUUACGCGCGGCAGGACGGAAAGACCCCGGGACCUUUACUAUAGCUUGGUAUUGGUGCUUGGUUCGGUUUGUGUAGGAUAGGUGGGAGACUGUGAAGCGCUCACGCCAGUGGGUGUGGAGUCAUUGUUGAAAUACCACUCUGAUCGUACUGAGUGUCUAACUUCGGACCGUGAUCCGGUUCAGGGACAGUGCCUGGUGGGUAGUUUAACUGGGGCGGUUGCCUCCCAAAG